Molecule: transfer RNA, 77 nt
Filed under: Pseudomonadota bacterium
Lineage: Bacteria; Pseudomonadati; Pseudomonadota
Description: tRNA-Arg
Rfam family: tRNA
About the family: Transfer RNA (tRNA) molecules are approximately 80 nucleotides in length.
Source: RNAcentral
GCGCCCGUAGCUCAACUGGAUAGAGCAUCUGACUACGAAUCAGAAGGCUGGAAGUUCGACUCUUUCCGGGCGCGCCA